AAGCGCUCUGCUGGCCCGAACCUGACGCUGAGGGACGAAAGCUAGGGGAGCGAAUGGGAUUAGAUACCCCAGUAGUCUAGCCGUAAACGAUGGAGACUAGGUGUUGCCUGUAUCGACCCGGGCAGUGCCGAAGCCAACGCGUUAAGUCUCCCGCCUGGGGAGUACGCACGCAAGUGUGAAACUCAAAGGAAUUGACGGGGGCCCGCACAAGCGGUGGAGUAUGUGGUUUAAUUCGAUGCAACGCGAAGAACCUUACCAGGGCUUGACAUCCCGCGAAUCCCGGCGAAAGUUGGGAGUGCCUACGGGAGCGCGGAGACAGGUGGUGCAUGGCUGUCGUCAGCUCGUGUCGUGAGAUGUUGGGUUAAGUCCCGCAACGAGCGCAACCCUCGUCCUUAGUUGCCAGCCUUAAGUGGGGCACUCUAGGGAGACUGCCGGUGAUAAACCGGAGGAAGGUGGGGAUGACGUCAAGUCAUCAUGCCCCAUAUGUCCUGGGCGACACACGUACUACAAUGGUCGGGACAGCGAGCAGCCAACUCGCGAGAGUGAGCUAAUCUCUCAAACCCGGCCUCAGUUCAGAUUGCAGGCUGCAACUCGCCUGCAUGAAGGAGGAAUCGCUAGUAAUCGCAGGUCAGCAUACUGCGGUGAAUCCGUUCCCGGGCCUUGUACACACCGCCCGUCACACCAUGGAAGUCGGCCAUGCCCGAAGUCAUUACUCUAACCGUUCGCGGAGGAGGGUGCCGAAGGCAGGGCUGAUGACUGGGGUGAAGUCGUAACAAGGUAGCCGUACCGGAAGGUGUGGCUGGAUCACCU
This 810-nucleotide ribosomal RNA is filed under the name uncultured bacterium. RNAcentral's name for it is "bacterial SSU rRNA". It matches the Rfam family "Bacterial small subunit ribosomal RNA", at positions 719 to 1528 of the family's 1533-position model. The record is from RNAcentral.